Molecule: long non-coding RNA, 1782 nt
Organism: Scylla paramamosain (green mud crab)
Lineage: Eukaryota; Metazoa; Arthropoda; Malacostraca; Decapoda; Portunidae
Exons: 2
Source: RefSeq, a predicted model, not a curated record
AUAUUAUCACGGCAGAAGUUAACUCGAGCAUUCCAAGAUUGAGUGGGCACUCCUUGUUUGCAGGAUGCGAGAGGUGAGGGAGCACAGACAUACAGAUAUGAUGUGAAGACCAGAAGACAACAGUUGGGGGGGUGAGGAUACGAUGCUGGCAGAGUGUGGGAGUGAUGCUGAAAUGUGUUUUUGCGUGUGGCCCGUCUGAAGAAUGCGAAUGACAUUGCAUAAUGAUAUUUUUUUUUCAGAGAUCGUCAGAGUGACCCAAACGGAGCACCAACUACCUUUCACACGGUCAUCUAAUAAAACCAUCACCCAGACUCAGACAGCUAUAACUUUUGACUGGAAACAACCACAACCUGACCAAGCUUCCUUCCAGCCAUGAUUCAAUCCUCUGUCUCUUGUCCUUGACUUAACUCCUUCACCUCCAUAUGCAAGAAGUCACGAUACAGACAAAAGCACCGCACAUCCUUUACAAGCACCUGCUAAGGAGAGAAGGAGUUAAAAGGACAGGUUUUCCAAUGACUGACCAGUAUAAGAGAUAACUGUAGAAUAGAAAAUAAAUGUCUAAUAAGUGUGGUUCGUGAUUAAUCCUUUUUCUGUUUUGGUCAUCACUUGGUGGCAUUCAGAACACUGCAGAAAGCUGUUUGCAUGGACGCAAAGGAAAGAGAGUACAGGAGAUUCAUUUUACCUUUUCUAGCUACAAAACCUUGUAGGAGAGAUUAGGACAACAGUUAAUGUACCUAGAAAAUUGCUGGUUAAUAUGGAAACAUUGUUCAGGGAGGGAAAGAGUUAAGAGGUGACGUGUGAAGCAGCAGUGAAUGGGUUAAGGGCCCGUGUUCAGAAACGCUUUGCUCUCCAACCACGUCUAUUUUCAAAUGCCACAAAAAUGAUUAGCCGAGUUCUCAAGACUGUUUCUCAAGACUUUAAUAAUGUAGAAAUCUUAACAAUUUCUCACUAGAACAGCAAAAAACACCCCGAAAAACGUGUGCAGCUUCAACUCAGAAGUGUUUCAGAGUAUGAUCCGAGGUGUCGAGUGCACGGUGAGUGGCAAUGAGCUGGUGGUGGUGGUGGUGGUGGUAGAGCAUUACGUGGGAACAAGGCAGGUGAGGUGGCUCGUCUAGUACCCCCACCACAAACUGUAUCCAUACAUACAUUGCGUCACUACCUCAUGAAAAAACUGACCUUCCUCAUGUUCUGUUGUUUAUCUAGAAGUUGUCACCGUAAUGUGUUGGGUGUUCUCUAAAACGUCUUUGUAAGGAGUAUGUUUCACAUGUAUGGAGCGGUUCCACUCGUACCACUCUUUUAGACAAGGUGGAAUCAAAAGUUUUUCGUUUUAUCAACUCCUCUCCUCUGACUAUCUUCAGCCUCUCUCUCUCUCAUCGCCACAAUGUUGCAUAUCUUGCUAUCUUCUAUCGCUAUUUUCAUCCUAACUGCUAUUCUGAUGUUGCUAACUGCAUGACUCCCCUUCUCCCGUGGCAUCGCUGCACAAGACUUUCUUCUUUCUCUCGUCGCUAUUUUGUCCACCUCUCUAAUGCAAGAAGUAACCAUUCUCAAUCAUUCAUCCCUUUUUCUUGUAAACUCUGGAACUUCCUACCUGCUUCUGUAUUCCUUCCUUCCUAUGACUUGAACUCUCUCAAGAGGGAGGUUUCAAGACACUUAUCCUUCAAUUUUCGAUGAUUCUCUUGACAUCUCUUUUGGGACUGGCACUUCAGUGGAAUUUUUUUCCCUUUUUUGUUUCCCUUGGCCAGUGACCCUCUUAUGUAAAAAAAUAAAAUAAAUAAAUAAAUA